GGUUAAGCGACUAAGCGUACACGGUGGAUGCCCUGGCAGUCAGAGGCGAUGAAGGACGUGCUAAUCUGCGAUAAGCGUCGGUGAGGUGAUAUGAACCGUUAUAACCGGCGAUUUCCGAAUGGGGAAACCCAGUGUGAUUCGUCACACUAUCAUUAACUGAAUCCAUAGGUUAAUGAGGCGAACCGGGGGAACUGAAACAUCUAAGUACCCCGAGGAAAAGAAAUCAACCGAGAUUCCCCCAGUAGCGGCGAGCGAACGGGGAGGAGCCCAGAGCCUGAAUCAGUGUGUGUGUUAGUGGAAGCGUCUGGAAAGGCGCGCGAUACAGGGUGACAGCCCCGUACACAAAAAUGCACAUAUUGUGAGCUCGAUGAGUAGGGCGGGACACGUGGUAUCCUGUCUGAAUAUGGGGGGACCAUCCUCCAAGGCUAAAUACUCCUGACUGACCGAUAGUGAACCAGUACCGUGAGGGAAAGGCGAAAAGAACCCCGGCGAGGGGAGUGAAAAAGAACCUGAAACCGUGUACGUACAAGCAGUGGGAGCCUCUUAAUGGGGUGACUGCGUACCUUUUGUAUAAUGGGUCAGCGACUUAUAUUCUGUAGCAAGGUUAACCGAAUAGGGGAGCCGAAGGGAAACCGAGUCUUAACUGGGCGUUAAGUUGCAGGGUAUAGACCCGAAACCCGGUGAUCUAGCCAUGGGCAGGUUGAAGGUUGGGUAACACUAACUGGAGGACCGAACCGACUAAUGUUGAAAAAUUAGCGGAUGACUUGUGGCUGGGGGUGAAAGGCCAAUCAAACCGGGAGAUAGCUGGUUCUCCCCGAAAGCUAUUUAGGUAGCGCCUCGUGAAUUCAUCUCCGGGGGUAGAGCACUGUUUCGGCAAGGGGGUCAUCCCGACUUACCAACCCGAUGCAAACUGCGAAUACCGGAGAAUGUUAUCACGGGAGACACACGGCGGGUGCUAACGUCCGUCGUGAAGAGGGAAACAACCCAGACCGCCAGCUAAGGUCCCAAAGUCAUGGUUAAGUGGGAAACGAUGUGGGAAGGCCCAGACAGCCAGGAUGUUGGCUUAGAAGCAGCCAUCAUUUAAAGAAAGCGUAAUAGCUCACUGGUCGAGUCGGCCUGCGCGGAAGAUGUAACGGGGCUAAACCAUGCACCGAAGCUGCGGCAGCGACACUAUGUGUUGUUGGGUAGGGGAGCGUUCUGUAAGCCUGUGAAGGUGGCCUGUGAGGGUUGCUGGAGGUAUCAGAAGUGCGAAUGCUGACAUAAGUAACGAUAAAGCGGGUGAAAAGCCCGCUCGCCGGAAGACCAAGGGUUCCUGUCCAACGUUAAUCGGGGCAGGGUGAGUCGACCCCUAAGGCGAGGCCGAAAGGCGUAGUCGAUGGGAAACAGGUUAAUAUUCCUGUACUUGGUGUUACUGCGAAGGGGGGACGGAGAAGGCUAUGUUGGCCGGGCGACGGUUGUCCCGGUUUAAGCGUGUAGGCUGGUUUUCCAGGCAAAUCCGGAAAAUCAAGGCUGAGGCGUGAUGACGAGGCACUACGGUGCUGAAGCGACAAAUGCCCUGCUUCCAGGAAAAGCCUCUAAGCAUCAGGUAACAUCAAAUCGUACCCCAAACCGACACAGGUGGUCAGGUAGAGAAUACCAAGGCGCUUGAGAGAACUCGGGUGAAGGAACUAGGCAAAAUGGUGCCGUAACUUCGGGAGAAGGCACGCUGAUAUGUAGGUGAAGCGACUUGCUCGUGGAGCUGAAAUCAGUCGAAGAUACCAGCUGGCUGCAACUGUUUAUUAAAAACACAGCACUGUGCAAACACGAAAGUGGACGUAUACGGUGUGACGCCUGCCCGGUGCCGGAAGGUUAAUUGAUGGGGUUAGCGGUAACGCGAAGCUCUUGAUCGAAGCCCCGGUAAACGGCGGCCGUAACUAUAACGGUCCUAAGGUAGCGAAAUUCCUUGUCGGGUAAGUUCCGACCUGCACGAAUGGCGUAAUGAUGGCCAGGCUGUCUCCACCCGAGACUCAGUGAAAUUGAACUCGCUGUGAAGAUGCAGUGUACCCGCGGCAAGACGGAAAGACCCCGUGAACCUUUACUAUAGCUUGACACUGAACAUUGAGCCUUGAUGUGUAGGAUAGGUGGGAGGCUUUGAAGUGUGGACGCCAGUCUGCAUGGAGCCGACCUUGAAAUACCACCCUUUAAUGUUUGAUGUUCUAACGUGGGCCCCUAAUCGGGGUUGCGGACAGUGUCUGGUGGGUAGUUUGACUGGGGCGGUCUCCUCCUAAAGAGUAACGGAGGAGCACGAAGGUUGGCUAAUCCUGGUCGGACAUCAGGAGGUUAGUGCAAUGGCAUAAGCCAGCUUGACUGCGAGCGUGACGGCGCGAGCAGGUGCGAAAGCAGGUCAUAGUGAUCCGGUGGUUCUGAAUGGAAGGGCCAUCGCUCAACGGAUAAAAGGUACUCCGGGGAUAACAGGCUGAUACCGCCCAAGAGUUCAUAUCGACGGCGGUGUUUGGCACCUCGAUGUCGGCUCAUCACAUCCUGGGGCUGAAGUAGGUCCCAAGGGUAUGGCUGUUCGCCAUUUAAAGUGGUACGCGAGCUGGGUUUAGAACGUCGUGAGACAGUUCGGUCCCUAUCUGCCGUGGGCGCUGGAGAACUGAGGGGGGCUGCUCCUAGUACGAGAGGACCGGAGUGGACGCAUCACUGGUGUUCGGGUUGUCAUGCCAAUGGCACUGCCCGGUAGCUAAAUGCGGAAGAGAUAAGUGCUGAAAGCAUCUAAGCACGAAACUUGCCCCGAGAUGAGUUCUCCCUGACUCCUUGAGAGUCCUGAAGGAACGUUGAAGACGACGACGUUGAUAGGCCGGGUGUGUAAGCGCAGCGAUGCGUUGAGCUAACCGGUACUAAUGAACCGUGAGGCUUAACCUU
Molecule: ribosomal RNA, 2904 nt
Filed under: Escherichia coli
Lineage: Bacteria; Pseudomonadati; Pseudomonadota; Gammaproteobacteria; Enterobacterales; Enterobacteriaceae
Description: 23S ribosomal RNA
Rfam family: Bacterial large subunit ribosomal RNA
Source: RNAcentral